AUCGAAACACUCGGACAUAAACCCAUUGCUCCCUCCACCACCAUUUCUAUCGCUUCCACCAACUCAACAAUCUCUAUCGCUUCCACCACAAUCAGCACCACCACCUACAUCACGCCUGCUAAUAUUAUUAACAGGUUAAAGAUUGAUUUUUUAUUAUUAAUUUCAACUUCUUGUUAAUUGUUCUUCAUUUUCUUAGGUUAAACAUUGAUUUUCGAAACCAGAUUUAGACAUCGAUAUGUAUUUUUGGUUCCGAUUUUAUAAUUUGGAGUUGGAGAUUCACAUUAAUGAUUACAUUUUUAAUUUUCCGAUCUGGAAAAUUGAUGAUAUGGGAAGAUAGAUUAAUGGUGGAGAUACUCGUGGUGGAAAAGUAUAACUGGAAAAUAGAUCUGGAAAAUUGAUGAUAUGAGAAAGUUGUUGAUGGUGGAGAUACUCGUGGUGCAGGUAAAGGACGUAUAUGGUUUAGCUCCAUUAGCAUUGACCAUACAAUGAAGGUGCGGGUGCUGGCAGUGACUGAAAUGUGCAGUAUAGAAGUAGAAAUGGAGUUGUUGGUGUUGUUUUCCAUGAAUCUGGAAUUGCAAGUCUGGAUUGAUGUUUAUAAAGCUACAUGUGAUGAUCAAUUUGUUGUUGUUUAUAUUUUUUUAUGGGAUCAAUUAUUGUUGUUGACCAAUUUUUUAUGGAUCAUUAUGAUUGUUGAUCCAUUUAUGGGAUCAACUUCUGUUGUUGACCCAAUUUUUUAUGGGAUCAACUACUGUUGUUGAUCCUUUCAACUCUUAUUAUUGACAAUAUUUCCUUGGAUAAGUAUAAUCAUGCUUGUAGUUUAAA
Long non-coding RNA from Papaver somniferum (opium poppy), 822 nucleotides. RefSeq lists it as uncharacterized. The record is from RefSeq and is a predicted model, not a curated record. The transcript is spliced from 2 exons. NCBI's taxonomy places the organism in Eukaryota, Viridiplantae, Streptophyta, Magnoliopsida, Ranunculales, Papaveraceae.